Molecule: ribosomal RNA, 467 nt
Filed under: uncultured bacterium
Lineage: Bacteria
Description: partial 16S ribosomal RNA
Rfam family: Bacterial small subunit ribosomal RNA
Source: RNAcentral
GGCGAACGCUGGCGGCGUGCUUAACACAUGCAAGUCGAACGGAAAGGCCCUGCUUUUGUGGGGUGCUCGAGUGGCGAACGGGUGAGUAACACGUGAGUAACCUGCCCUUGACUUUGGGAUAACUUCAGGAAACUGGGGCUAAUACCGGAUAGGAGCUCCUGCUGCAUGGUGGGGGUUGGAAAGUUUCGGCGGUUGGGGAUGGACUCGCGGCUUAUCAGCUUGUUGGUGGGGUAGUGGCUUACCAAGGCUUUGACGGGUAGCCGGCCUGAGAGGGUGUCCGGCCACAUUGGGACUGAGAUACGGCCCAGACUCCUACGGGAGGCAGCAGUGGGGAAUAUUGCACAAUGGGCGGAAGCCUGAUGCAGCAACGCCGCGUGCGGGAUGACGGCCUUCGGGUUGUAAACCGCUUUCGCCUGUGACGAAGCGUGAGUGACGGUAAUGGGUAAAGAAGCACCGGCUAACUACGU